RNAcentral lists this ribosomal RNA (509 nucleotides) under uncultured bacterium. RNAcentral describes it as "partial 16S ribosomal RNA". The stretch from base 20 to 329 matches the Rfam family "Bacterial small subunit ribosomal RNA", at positions 47 to 358 of the family's 1533-position model. The record is from RNAcentral.
GACGAACGCUGGCGGCGUGCUUAACACAUGCAAGUCGAACGGAAAGGCCCUGCUUUUGUGGGGUGCUCGAGUGGCGAACGGGUGAGUAACACGUGAGUAACCUGCCCUUGACUUUGGGAUAACUUCAGGAAACUGGGGCUAAUACCGGAUAGGAGCUCCUGCUGCAUGGUGGGGGUUGAAAAGUUUCGGCGGUUGGGGAUGGACUCGCGGCUUAUCAGCUUGUUGGUGGGGUAGUGGCUUACCAAGGCUUUGACGGGUAGCCGGCCUGAGAGGGUGACCGGGCAGAGGGGAGCGGGGGUGGGGGCGAGAGACGGAGGGGAGGCAGGGGGGGGGAGGAGGGAAAGGCGGGAGGGAGGCUGAGGCCGCAGGGCGGGGUGGGGGAUGCGGGGGUUGGGGUGGAGAACCGCUUGCGCCGGAGAGGGAGAGGGAGUGAGGGAAGUGGGAAAAGAAGCAACGGGAAAGGGCGCGCCGGCGGCCGGGGAAAUAAUCGGAGGAGCAUACGUGUGAAC